CCUAGGGGAGGCAGCAGUGAGGAAUAUUGGUCAAUGGACGGAAGUCUGAACCAGCCAAGUAGCGUGCAGGAUGACGGCCCUAUGGGUUGUAAACUGCUUUUAUGCGGGGGUAAAGUGAGUGACGUGUCAUUCAUUGCAAGUACCGCAAGGAUAAGGACCGGCUAAUUCCGUGCCAGCAGCCGCGGUAAU
RNAcentral lists this ribosomal RNA (189 nucleotides) under uncultured bacterium. Its description in RNAcentral is "partial 16S ribosomal RNA". It matches the Rfam family "Bacterial small subunit ribosomal RNA", at positions 338 to 524 of the family's 1533-position model. The record is from RNAcentral.